RNAcentral lists this ribosomal RNA (253 nucleotides) under uncultured bacterium. Its description in RNAcentral is "partial 16S ribosomal RNA". It matches the Rfam family "Bacterial small subunit ribosomal RNA", at positions 524 to 776 of the family's 1533-position model. The record is from RNAcentral.
UACGAGAGGCCCAAACGUUAUUCGGAUUUACUGGGCUUAAAGAGUUCGUAGGCGGUCCAUCAAGUGGGGUGUGAAAUCCCUCGGCUCAACCGAGGAAUUGCGCUCCAAACUGUUGGGCUCGAGGGAGAUAGAGGUGAGCGGAACUGAUGGUGGAGCGGUGAAAUGCGCAGAUAUCAGGAGGAACACCGGUGGCGAAGGCGGUUCUCUGGGCCUUACCUGACGCUGAGGAGCGAAAGCGUGGGGAGCAAACAGG